Molecule: long non-coding RNA, 926 nt
Organism: Eutrema salsugineum
Lineage: Eukaryota; Viridiplantae; Streptophyta; Magnoliopsida; Brassicales; Brassicaceae
Exons: 4
Source: RefSeq, a predicted model, not a curated record
AUGUAGCCCAUAAAGAAGUUAGUGUGAAAACUCUCAAAGAUGUUGCCCCUGACUCAAGCAAAACCGACCAUUUAUUCCCAUUGGUCCUGGUUUCCAGGCUGAAAUUCCGAUUUGGAUUGCCCUCACAAAGGAGGGCAAAUUUUAUGGUAGUCCUGGAGAUUCCGACACUCUUAGAUGGUUGGGUACUGGUGUGUGGCCGACAUAUAGCCUAAAGAAGAAAUUUCAUUACAAAAAAGUCGGUGAAGGAAGAUCAGAUUCUUGUUCUUGUGCUUCUCCAAGAUCAACCAAUUGCAUAAAACAACAUAUAGAAGAAGCACGAGAGGUUCUAGAAAAAGAAAUUGACCGUGCUUUCUAUACUUGGAAGUUUGAUCAAAUGGGUGAAGUCAGAUCAAAAUCAUGGACGACCAAAGAAGGGCAAAGGUUCGAAGCUGUUGUGAAAAUAAUCGUUUGUCAAAUAGUGAAGGAUUUUGGAAAUCUGUUUCAAAGGCUUGCUAACUCUUCUGCUGAGAAACUGGAUGAAGGCCUUGAUGAUAGCUGUAAUCAUUGCAGAUGUUUCUCUUGAACACAGGUACAAGAACUUCAGAGCUCAGAAUGAUAAACAACUAAGGACCAAGAGCUGCAAACUUGGUUGGAGCUGGUGAUGCUGAUAAUGCUUAAGCAAAUAGCCCAGGGAAUACAAGCACCAGCUGUGGAGAACUACAGUUUUGAGAUCAAGGCUGGGUUUAUAAACAUGUUGCAGAGCAAUAAAUUUCAUGGAAAACAGCUUCAAGCUCAAGCUUUUCAAAUUUCGUCUUGGAAACAAAGCACAUCUAUGGGAGAAGAACCUUCCUCAAGGCUCUAUCAUUACAUGGGACCAAUGCAAGAAAGCUUUAUUAGCCAAGUUCUUCUCCAGCUCUAGAACUGCUAGACUGAGGAAUGAAAUAUCA